RNAcentral lists this ribosomal RNA (832 nucleotides) under Diaforobiotus sp. ID.517. Its description in RNAcentral is "SSU rRNA". It matches the Rfam family "Eukaryotic small subunit ribosomal RNA", at positions 131 to 962 of the family's 1831-position model. The record is from RNAcentral. Lineage: Eukaryota; Metazoa; Tardigrada; Eutardigrada; Parachela; Richtersiusidae.
CAGUUUACACGGAUAACUGUGGUAAUUCUAGAGCUAAUACGUGCAAUCAGCUCGCUUCCUUGUGGAGCGAGCGCAGUUAUUAGAACAAGACCAAUCCGGCCUUCGGGUCGGUACAAUUGGUGACUCUGAAUAACCGAAGCGGAGCGCAUGGUCUCGUACCGGCGCCAGAUCUUUCAAGUGUCUGACUUAUCAGCUUGUUGUUAGGUUAUGUUCCUAACAAGGCUCUUACGGGUAACGGGGUAUCAGGGUCCGAUACCGGAGAGGGAGCCUGAGAAACGGCUACCACAUCCAAGGAAGGCAGCAGGCGCGCAAAUUACCCACUCCCGGCACGGGGAGGUAGUGACGAAAAAUAACGAUGCGAGAGCUACAAAGUUUCUCGUAAUCGGAAUGGGUACACUUUAAAUCCUUUAACGAGGAUCUAUUGGAGGGCAAGUCUGGUGCCAGCAGCCGCGGUAAUUCCAGCUCCAAUAGCGUAUAUUAAAGUUGCUGCGGUUAAAAAGCUCGUAGUUGGAUCUGGGUAGCUGGACGGAUGGUGUGCUUUGCGGUAUUACUGUCUGUUCGGCACCACAAGCCGGUCAUGUCUUGCAUACGCUUCAUUGAGUGUGCUUGGCGGCCGGAACGUUUACUUUGAAAAAAUUAGAGUGCUCAAAGCAGGCGUACGGCCUUGCAUAAUGGUGCAUGGAAUAAUGGAAUAGGACCUCGGUUCUAUUUUGUUGGUUUUCGGAACUCGAGGUAAUGAUUAAUAGGAACAGACGGGGGCAUUCGUAUUGCGGCGUUAGAGGUGAAAUUCUUGGAUCGUCGCAAGACGAACUACUGCGAAAGCAUUGUCAAG